GAUGAACGUUGGCGGCGUGCCUAACACAUGCAAGUCGAACGAUAGUCGCAAGACUAUAGUGGCGCACGGGUGAGUAACACGUAGCUUACCAGCCUCUCAGCGCGGGAUAACGGCUCGAAAGAGGUGCUAAUACCGCAUAAGCUCACGGGAUGUAGAGACUAGUGAGAAAAGGUGCAAAUCACUGAGAGACGGGGCUGCGGCCCAUCAGCUAGUGGUGCGGUAACGGCGCACCAAGGCGACGACGGGUAGGGGACCUGAGAGGGUGA
RNAcentral lists this ribosomal RNA (266 nucleotides) under uncultured bacterium. Its description in RNAcentral is "partial 16S ribosomal RNA". It matches the Rfam family "Bacterial small subunit ribosomal RNA", at positions 28 to 303 of the family's 1533-position model. The record is from RNAcentral.